This 515-nucleotide long non-coding RNA is filed under the name Olea europaea (common olive). Its description in RNAcentral is "long non-coding RNA (OEUR_LNC001564)". Lineage: Eukaryota; Viridiplantae; Streptophyta; Magnoliopsida; Lamiales; Oleaceae. The record is from RNAcentral.
UUUGUUUAUGAACACUAAUUGAGUCAUUUGUUCUUCAUACUAGGUAAUCAGUUGAAAAACAAUGAAACUGAUUUUGAUUUAGAAAAGUGGAAUAUAUCAAUAUUGAUUCUCUGGUAGGGCAUUUAUAACUUUUGAGAGAUUGAUCACUUUCAUUUUUGAAUAUGAUUUUAUUUGUAGCAUUGGAACUUAGUAAUUGUUUCUUGGAAACAUAAAAUUAACGUUCGUUCCUCCUUGACUUCAUAUUCCCCUCCCAAAAAAUUUAAAAUAAAAUAAAAAUGAAACAAGAGUCUGAAAUCAGAGACGGUGAACCGAAAUCAUCUCUUGGGAAGCUGCAAGGGCAGAUUAAGUUGGUGGUGGUGGUGGUGGUGGUGGUGGUGGUGGUGACAAUAAUUGGAAUUCAUGUAAAUAAUUUUUGUUCUCCAGAUUCAUCCGCUGUGUUUACUUUAUUUUUGGUGUUUUGGGGAAUUUCCCUAUUGCUCUUUUUAAUUUCCAGAGAAAGCACAGCUCGGAGGAGU